Non-coding RNA from Heterocephalus glaber (naked mole-rat), 427 nucleotides. The record is from RefSeq and is a predicted model, not a curated record. Lineage: Eukaryota; Metazoa; Chordata; Mammalia; Rodentia; Bathyergidae.
UGGUGGUGCUCACUGUGCCGUCGCCAGGCCUGGGGCUGUGGGGGCCCUGGCUGCACUCCGCACCACCAGGCCAAGAGCCGAGAGCCAAGCAGAACUCUGAACUGGGGCAAGCUGCAGGCAGAGCAGUCACUCUAUGCUGCGAGCUGGUCCGGCCCCCAUCAGCCCAUGGCUCCUUUCUUCCUCAGUUCCACCGAAAGCCAGUGCCCACCCUUCUUGGAAACCACACCUUUACCUUCAGAAACAGGAACCCGGCUCCUCACUCACUUCACUCAAGCGAUGUCCUCUAGAAGACGAUUGACACAGAGACCGCACACCAGUGAGGCCUCCCCAGAGACAAACAACUCGAGCACCCUCAGCCCUCUGCCCACUCUGCCCCUCACCUGCCUUACCGGGAUCUGGACAGAAAGAAGCUCCUUCGCCAGCUUUA